This 252-nucleotide unclassified non-coding RNA is filed under the name Hevea brasiliensis (rubber tree). Lineage: Eukaryota; Viridiplantae; Streptophyta; Magnoliopsida; Malpighiales; Euphorbiaceae. The record is from RNAcentral.
GGAAAAAGGCUUUGAUGGUGAUGUAUAGAGGAAUAAUGGAGCAGGAUACCCUACCUGUUGUGCCUCCUGGAUGUUCUUCUGAAAAGCCAGAGACAGUUCAUGAUUUUAUUAUUAAGGCAAAAGCUGCUCUUGUUGCCGUUGGAAUAGUUAGAGAUUCUAUUAUUGGUAAUGGAAAGUUAUCUGGCCGCAUAAUUGAUUCAGACAUGCAUGAUGUUGGACGUUUUCUCAACCGGCUCUUAGGACUACCGCCUG